GACAAAACCAUCCUUGCUGCCCCCUGUCAACCCUUCCGCCAUCAGAGCUGAUGAGGCAGGACCCAGAGAGCCCUCAGAGAGUGUGAUAAAGCUCAGCCCUCCCUAGGGUGGGCACUGCUCCUCCCUCUCAGGAGAGCCCUGAAGGGGGUGGAUGCCAAAGCUGUCCCCUGGUGGCUGUAACUGCCAUCUGAACUCCUACCAGCUGGCCUUCCUUCCUGUGGACUAAGUGGCUUCAGCUGCACACAGUGACCUUCAGGAGGAGAAAUGCAGUUUCCUGUACCCCUUCCUCCUGGGAGUGGGACUGUAUCAAGACGCUCACCUUUUAAGAGGCUUGCCCUAACUGGAGUGCUGGAGUCUGAACUUUCUUUGAACAUCGUUUGAUCUCAGAUGCAGCCAGUCCUGUGCACAGCCUGAUGGGAUGGAAUGUUCAGGAUCAUCAUGUGAUUCCCCUGGGUGGCCUAGCUGAGGGACACAAAUUUCCCCAGGCAGAGAAGACAGCACAGGAGGAAGAAGCUCCAAUAUCGAGAGUGAGAGGGCUGCAAAUUCGUCAAGAGCUGGCACCUCCAACCAAAAAUGUGCAGUUAUCGAUCAAUAAAACCAGCUUUUGUUUUAAUUUUUGACUUUUUGAUUUUUAGUUUUUUCCUCCCCAGCCAUCAUGGUGCUGCAUGCCCAUUGUAGAAAUCUGAGAAAAUGAUAAAGAGGUUGAUGAAAACUGUCUAUGAAGUUACUACCCACUGUAUUUUUCAUCUAUUUUUUUCUUUUAUACCUGAG
This 771-nucleotide long non-coding RNA is filed under the name Homo sapiens (human). RNAcentral's name for it is "HSALNT0250765". Lineage: Eukaryota; Metazoa; Chordata; Mammalia; Primates; Hominidae. The record is from RNAcentral.